CAAAAGCUGAAAAUUGUGAGUAGGGAAUUAACAUAGCAAGAGCAAGCGAGCAUUGCCUUAUCGCACACCUUCGAAGGCGCGUCAAGACGUCUGGGCUUGUAAUUGGUUAAAAAAGGCAGCUUGACUAAGGUCUAUAAAAAUAAACACACACUUCCUUCAUCGAACUCACCAAAGCCCCGAUGAGCAAACCACUUUAUUCCCUUUCCCCUUCUUCCUUCGAUCCCUAGGGUCUUACAAUUCCCAGGGUUUAUCCCAACUCUCCCACUAUUCAAUUUGAAUCCCUAAUAUUCCCUCUCAAUACUUCUCUCUUAAACCCUUCAUCACUGUUCUAAACCCUAGCUAAUUUGGGUCCCUGCUAAUCUUUCUUCUUCUUUUUGAUUUUUUGGGUCUGAAUUUUGGUCGAUUGAAGCAGCGUUUCAUUUCCAAGUCUCGAAAUUACUGGGAUGGAUUCUAUUCUUCUGGGGUUGCAAACUCCGUUAUCUUUUUCCAUGCAAUUAUUUGGAACUCUACAAACUAUUUCAGUGUCAAUGCAAGUCAUAUUAAAGGGUAUUUUUUCUGCCCUUGAAAACAUUUUAGAGAAAAAAUUUAAGUUUCAUUACCCUUGCAUUAGAAAGAAGAAUGUGCUAAUGAGGUUAAUGGGCGAAAUUAAUUAAAAUACAGAAAGCCUUCAGUAUUGAUCAGUUGAAGUUGGAAAUGUUGACCGUUAUACAGUUGUCGUAUG
Juglans microcarpa x Juglans regia is the source of this 721-nucleotide long non-coding RNA. RefSeq lists it as uncharacterized. The transcript is spliced from 2 exons. Lineage: Eukaryota; Viridiplantae; Streptophyta; Magnoliopsida; Fagales; Juglandaceae. The record is from RefSeq and is a predicted model, not a curated record.